UACGUAGGUGGCAAGCGUUGUCCGGAUUUACUGGGCGUAAAGAGCGCGCAGGCGGUCGUUCAAGUCGCGUGUGAAAGCCCCCGGCUCAACUGGGGAGGGUCACGCGAUACUGAUCGACUCGAAGGCAGGAGAGGGUAGUGGAAUUCCCGGUGUAGUGGUGAAAUGCGUAGAUAUCGGGAGGAACACCGGUGGCGAAGGCGGCUCUCUGGGCCUGUCCUGACGCUCAGGCGCGAAAGCUAGGGGAGCAAACAGG
This 253-nucleotide ribosomal RNA is filed under the name uncultured bacterium. Its description in RNAcentral is "partial 16S ribosomal RNA". It matches the Rfam family "Bacterial small subunit ribosomal RNA", at positions 524 to 776 of the family's 1533-position model. The record is from RNAcentral.